RNAcentral lists this ribosomal RNA (403 nucleotides) under uncultured Hyphomicrobiales bacterium. RNAcentral describes it as "bacterial SSU rRNA". It matches the Rfam family "Bacterial small subunit ribosomal RNA", at positions 356 to 774 of the family's 1533-position model. Lineage: Bacteria; Pseudomonadati; Pseudomonadota; Alphaproteobacteria; Hyphomicrobiales. The record is from RNAcentral.
GGGGAAUAUUGCGCAAUGGGGGAAACCCUGACGCAGCAAUACCGCGUGAGUGAAGAAGGUUUUCGGAUCGUAAAGCUCUGUUAUUGGGGAAGAAAAAAAGACGGUACCCAAGAAGAAGCCCCGGCUAACUUCGUGCCAGCAGCCGCGGUAAUACGAAGGGGGCUAGCGUUGUUCGGAAUUACUGGGCGUAAAGCGUAUGCAGGCGGAUCGUUAAGUCGGGGGUGAAAUCCCGAGGCUCAACCUCGGAACUGCCUUCGAUACUGGCGAUCUUCGAGUCCGGGAGAGGUGAGUGGAACUCCGAGUGUAGAGGUGAAAUUCGUAGAUAUUCGGAAGAACACCAGUGGCGAAGGCGGCUCACUGGCCCGGUACUGACGCUGAGAUACGAAAGCGUGGGGAGCAAACA